RNAcentral lists this ribosomal RNA (253 nucleotides) under uncultured bacterium. Its description in RNAcentral is "partial 16S ribosomal RNA". It matches the Rfam family "Bacterial small subunit ribosomal RNA", at positions 524 to 776 of the family's 1533-position model. The record is from RNAcentral.
UACGGGGGGAGCAAGCGUUGUUCGGAUUUACUGGGCGUAAAGGGCGCGUAGGCGGGAUGGCAAGUCGGUCGUGAAAUCCCUCGGCUCAACUGAGGAUCGUCGAUCGAUACUGCCGUUCUUGAGGAUUGCAGAGGAGACUGGAAUUCCCGGUGUAGCGGUGAAAUGUGUAGAGAUCGGGAGGAACACCGGUGGCGAAGGCGGGUCUCUGGGCAAUUCCUGACGCUGAGGCGCGAAAGCGUGGGGAGCAAACGGG